AGCUGAUGUUCACAAUCCAAUUCAUAUCAUGGUGAUCACCAUCUAAUUUAUCUGAGACUGGAAAAAAAUUGUCCCUCACCACGGAGCAAGCAUGGAAGAUGACGAAACAGACAGUGGGUAUGCAACAUCAGUCAACGAACACACACGGAUGCUGGAGACAGAAAGGAUGACAACCCAUGUGGAUAUAACCAGCUCACCCUCUAGUAGACAUUCCAUUAAAAACCUUAGGAAGCCAUCUUCAUUGCAAGUUAAACUUG
Molecule: long non-coding RNA, 257 nt
Organism: Lytechinus pictus (painted urchin)
Lineage: Eukaryota; Metazoa; Echinodermata; Echinoidea; Temnopleuroida; Toxopneustidae
Exons: 2
Source: RefSeq, a predicted model, not a curated record